GACGGGGGGGGCAAGUGUUCUUCGGAAUGACUGGGCGUAAAGGGCACGUAGGCGGUGAAUCGGGUUGAAAGUGAAAGUCGCCAAAAAGUGGCGGAAUGCUCUCGAAACCAAUUCACUUGAGUGAGGCAGAGGAGAGUGGAAUUUCGUGUGUAGGGGUGAAAUCCGUAAAUAUACGAAGGAACGCCAAAAGCGAAGGCAGCUCUCUGGGACGGUACUGACGCUGAGACGCGAAAGCGUGGGGAGCGAACAGG
This 251-nucleotide ribosomal RNA is filed under the name uncultured bacterium. RNAcentral describes it as "partial 16S ribosomal RNA". It matches the Rfam family "Bacterial small subunit ribosomal RNA", at positions 524 to 776 of the family's 1533-position model. The record is from RNAcentral.